UUUCCGUAGGUGAACCUGCGGAGGGAUCAUUACUGAGUGAGGGUCUCCGGGCCCGACCUCCAACCCUUUGUGAAUCGUACCCGUUGCUUCGGGGGCGACCCUGCCGUCCGCGGCUGAGCGCCCCCGGGGUCAAUCAAACACUGCAUUCUCUGCGUCGGAGUAUUAGUAAAUCUAAUCAAAACUUUCAACAACGGAUCUCUUGGUUCUGGCAUCGAUGAAGAACGCCAGC
This 229-nucleotide unclassified non-coding RNA is filed under the name uncultured fungus. Its description in RNAcentral is "sequence contains ITS1, 5.8S rRNA gene". The stretch from base 180 to 229 matches the Rfam family "5.8S ribosomal RNA", at positions 1 to 49 of the family's 154-position model. Lineage: Eukaryota; Fungi. The record is from RNAcentral.